RNAcentral lists this small RNA (125 nucleotides) under human gut metagenome. RNAcentral describes it as "Ribosomal protein L10 leader". It matches the Rfam family "Ribosomal protein L10 leader". Rfam says of the family: This family is a putative r-protein leader autoregulatory structure found in B. subtilis and other low-GC Gram-positive bacteria. It is located in the 5' untranslated regions of mRNAs encoding ribosomal proteins L10 and L12 (rplJ-rplL). The record is from RNAcentral.
UAUUAAAAGUAUCACGCCGAAGACAGCAGGUGCCCACGGGCAUAAGCAUUUCACGCCUGCCGAGGAAAUACAUUCUAUUUCAGGAAUUGUACCUCUCUGUUUUGCGGCAGAGAGGUUUUUUAUUU